RNAcentral lists this transfer RNA (99 nucleotides) under Tuber magnatum (white Piedmont truffle). It matches the Rfam family "tRNA". Rfam says of the family: Transfer RNA (tRNA) molecules are approximately 80 nucleotides in length. RNAcentral also lists the same sequence under 1 other name. The record is from Rfam by way of RNAcentral. Lineage: Eukaryota; Fungi; Ascomycota; Pezizomycetes; Pezizales; Tuberaceae.
GGCAAGAUGGCCGAGUUGGUUAUGGCGCCAGGUUAAGGUUAUCUUAACAUGUAUCCUGGUUCGGGAAACUGAGCGUGGGUUCAAGUCCCACUCUUGUCA